RNAcentral lists this ribosomal RNA (520 nucleotides) under uncultured Glomus. RNAcentral describes it as "SSU rRNA". It matches the Rfam family "Eukaryotic small subunit ribosomal RNA", at positions 569 to 1091 of the family's 1831-position model. The record is from RNAcentral. Lineage: Eukaryota; Fungi; Glomeromycota; Glomeromycetes; Glomerales; Glomeraceae.
AGCAGCCGCGGUAAUUCCAGCUCCAAUAGCGUAUAUUAAAGUUGCUGCAGUUAAAAAGCUCGUAGUUGAAUUUCGGGACCGAUAUAUCGGUCGUGCCUCGGUACGUACUGGUAUUUUCGGUUUCUCCCUUCUGACGAACCUUGAUGUCAUUAAUUUGGUGUCUUGGGGAAUCAGGACUGUUACUUUGAAAAAAUUAGAGUGUUUAAAGCAGGCUCACGCUUGAAUACAUUAGCAUGGAAUAAUGAAAUAGGACGUUUGAUUCUAUUUUGUUGGUUUCUAGGAUCGACGUAAUGAUUAAUAGGGAUAGUUGGGGGCAUUAGUAUUCAAUUGUCAGAGGUGAAAUUCUUGGAUUUAUUGAAGACUAACUACUGCGAAAGCAUUUGCCAAGGAUGUUUUCAUUAAUCAAGAACGAAAGUUAGGGGAUCGAAGACGAUCAGAUACCGUCGUAGUCUUAACCAUAAACUAUGCCGACUAGGGAUCGGAUGAUGUUAAUUUUUUAAUGACUCAUUCGGCGCCUUAC